AACGAGGCCGACCUGCGGCUGAGUUACCUGCGGAGGGAUCAUUACAUUCAGUAGCCUAGCUACUUGUUUACACCCUUGUUUUUUUGCGCACUUCACUGUAUCCCUCGGCGGGCUUGCUCGCCGGUUGGACAACAUUUAUAACCUUUUUUAAUCUUCAAUCAGCGUCUGAAUUAUAUUUAAUAAUUACAACUUUUAACAAUGGAUCU
Molecule: unclassified non-coding RNA, 206 nt
Filed under: soil metagenome
Description: partial contains 5.8S ribosomal RNA, internal transcribed spacer 2, and large subunit ribosomal RNA
Source: RNAcentral